This is a long non-coding RNA of Exaiptasia diaphana, 834 nucleotides long. RefSeq lists it as uncharacterized. Lineage: Eukaryota; Metazoa; Cnidaria; Anthozoa; Actiniaria; Aiptasiidae. The transcript is spliced from 3 exons. The record is from RefSeq and is a predicted model, not a curated record.
UCGGGAUUACACAGGAGAUACAUACAUAUCGGAAGCUCUCGUGAAAGCUGGUGACUCUUUUUUCAAGGAUGGGACCAAGGGUAAUCGGAAAAAAUAUAAAGAUAUUGCUAUUGUUUUUACCGAUGGUGUAAGCAAUAGUAAAGUGGAACCUGGCCUUGACAGUGAAAAUAUGAAGGGCAUUCCUGUAAUCGCUGUUGGAAUCGGUAAAGACGCAACAGAAAUAUCUCUGAAGGAAGUAGCACGAGGAAGAAAGGAAAACGUUGUCAUGGCGACAGGCUUUAAAGAUCUGUCGAACAAACUCGACGAGAUUGCAAAUAAAGCAUGCAAAGCUUCACGUGCACAGCCGUAAGCAACAUUGUGGUCUUCUGGMGAUUUUAAGAUAUUAGAUGUAAUUGAUGAAAAAAAAAACACAUUAGAAAAAAAUGUUUAGCUAAUGAAAAAAUGAGAGUUCAUAUCGCACGUCGCUGAUAAAAGAACCCGUAUACUAAUAUUUCAAUGGUAAAUCUAUAAAUCUACUGUUAGCAGCAAAGAAUAAACAAAGUUUAUCUCUAUAAAUCUAGUCUGUUGCAAAUAUAAACCACCCAACCCAUCCCAAGAAAAAUACUCCACGCCUUCCUGGCGAAAGAAUAAAUGACAGGUUUACUAGCCAGCAUAUUCUAAACGGUGAACUUAGGCAGUUCAGACUACAUCCCAAAAAAAGGAAACAUCGUGACUUCAUCGUCUUUGAGAUUAUGCAAUUGUUUUAGGAAUUGAAGAUUUUGACUUCUAUGCGAAAUUGUUAAAGAUCCACCACAUGAUAACGACGAUGAAUUAAAAUACAUUCAAGCCUGCCCA